AUCCGAUAACACUGUGCAACGCGAGUGCCUGUGUGCAUGUGUGUCAUUGACUCAGAGUGACAGCGUGUUUCCAAAUUUGUAAGAAACACAGUGAAUUAUGGCCUCAUUAGUUCCUGUUUUCCAAUGCCUUAUAAGAGGACCCUAACUCCCUGUCUCUACAUCAGAACAGCAGCUAGUGUUUAGCAGCUAGCGUUAGGGACAUAGCUACCAUUUGAAGAUGUGUGUGUUUUUCUCUGUUAGCCGUGUGCUGUGUCUACUGGCGCUGACCAUGGCCAUCCUCUCCUCUACAUUGGAAGUGCGUUCCCAGGGAAUGAGGCCUCUAAAUUGCUGUUUGAAGACAUCCAAAAAACGUCCAGCAGAACCAAUCACACUGUGUCUUAUUCAGAUGCCUCGUGGGAAAUGUAACCUCAAAGCAUACAUUUUCGCCAGUGGGGAGCAGUGGAAGUGCAUCAACCCCAAAGCCAGAUGGCUCUCUGCUGAGCUAGCAUCACUGGAACAGAGAGGAAUACAGUGUGACCCACUGAUUAAAUAACCAUCAGACCAUGAUCCUAGAUCCUCAUCAUCGUCAGCAGCAGGUUCAGCAGCCUCUCUCAAGCAGGAACUACAGAACUAAGAUCUCUCUCAAGCAGGAACUACAGAACUAAGAUCUCUCUCAAGCAGGAACUACAGAACUAAGAUCUCUCUCAACCAGGAACUACAGAACUAAGAUCUCUCUCAACCAGGAACUACAGAACUAAGAUCUCUCUCAACCAGGAACUACAGAACUAAGAUAAUAAGAAGACAGUGAAAAUGAAGAUUAUGAUUUGUGUGAUUUAAGUAUUUCAAGCUGUCUUUAUCAUUUUAUUUAUUUAUGUAUUUAUUUAUUUCAACCUCAUCCCGGCAUUAAUUUAUUGUACUCAAUUCAUUAAGGUGUUUUAAAGGCAUUUGUAUUUAUUUAUUUCCUCUGUCCUUUUUUUAUGCUGUGAUAAUAACAUAACUUUGUUUGUAUAAAGUCUUUCAUUCUCAAAGUGCUUUACAGUGAUACAAAAUAAAGAAUGGGAGACCUAUCUGAGUAUCUCCAUAGUAACGAGACCCUGUAAUGGCUGCAUAAAGGUUAAAGGUGUGACACUCAAUCGUGUCACUGGGCUGUGGUCAUGGUGAUGACACUGCCCAUCCGUUCUACCAACAAAGCCAUUCCCUCAGUCCCUGACCAUAUCCUCUUCCACUAGUCACUAGUCCUUGUCCUUGUCCUUAACCCCUUUAGUUCACAAUGGAGCCCCUAGUUCCACUCUUCAUACCCCUGAUAACUCCUUUGUCCCACCUCCCACACAUGCGGUGA
This 1318-nucleotide long non-coding RNA is filed under the name Oncorhynchus kisutch (coho salmon). RNAcentral's name for it is "lncRNA (ENSOKIG00005050057.1)". The record is from RNAcentral. Lineage: Eukaryota; Metazoa; Chordata; Actinopteri; Salmoniformes; Salmonidae.